UAAGGAAUAUUGCAAAAUGGGCGAAAGCACGAUGCAGCAACGCCGCGUGGGCGAUGAAGGCCUUCGGGUCGUAAAGCCCUUUUUGAGGGGAUGAGGAAGGACAGUACCCUCAGAAUAAGCCUCGGCUAACUACGUGCCAGCAGCCGCGGUAAAACGUAGGAGGCGAGCGUUAUCCGGAUUUACUGGGCGUAAAGCGCGUGCAGGCGGAUUGGAGAGUUGGAUGUGAAAGCUCCCGGCUUAACUGGGAGAGGUCGUUCAAUACUUACAGGCUUGAGUGCAGGAGAGGGAAGUGGAAUUCCGGGUGUAGUGGUGAAAUGCGUAGAUAUCCGGAGGAACACCAGUGGCGAAAGCGGCUUCCUGGACUGUAACUGACGCUCAGACGCGAAAGCUAGGGUAGCAAACG
RNAcentral lists this ribosomal RNA (403 nucleotides) under uncultured bacterium. RNAcentral's name for it is "bacterial SSU rRNA". It matches the Rfam family "Bacterial small subunit ribosomal RNA", at positions 355 to 774 of the family's 1533-position model. The record is from RNAcentral.